Molecule: non-coding RNA, 4435 nt
Organism: Doryrhamphus excisus (bluestripe pipefish)
Lineage: Eukaryota; Metazoa; Chordata; Actinopteri; Syngnathiformes; Syngnathidae
Source: RefSeq, a predicted model, not a curated record
UGGACCGACCAUGAAUCACCUUAAAAUCCUCCCACAAAAAACACAAACCCCCGCCUGCUGUGAGCUUCUGGACUUUUAACCAUUUUGGAAAGAUUCUGGAAGGUAUAUGAGAGCGUGAGACUGUACGAGGACGGGAUAGUAGCUGAAGGAACGUGGUGUGAAGAGGACGGCGUCUUACUACGAUGAGUGCUGCCACGGAUGACCCUAAUUCCAGAAUUCCUGAACCCGAGUCCUGUCCCGCGGAGCUGUGGAGUGUGACAAUGGUGUUUGUGUCCUGUGUAAUCAAACGCCAUUAUCACACUAAAUAGCUACAGCGUGGAAAAAGAAACACUUGUUUCACCGUGUUGGAGCAUUCUUUUUUUUUUUUUUUUUAAUUAUAUAUAUAUUUUUUUUUUAAUUUAUAGUUUAAUUAUUUAAAUGUUUCAGGUUGAUUGUCCAACAACUUGGUUUGUCACAUGUUCCACAAAUGUAGUAAGUACAGUGUACAGUAUGAUGCACACUGCAAAAAAUUCAAAGUUUGACUAACAGUUUACCAAUUUGCUUAUUUUAAUUAAUAUGGACUCAAAUCUGUCAUACAGCAUAUUGACACCAAUGUAAGCUGACACUGACAAUAAGACGACACCCUCUUUUUCACGACCUGUUUUUGGAAAAAUAUCUUUUCAGCCAAAAGUAAUGUAUGGUAUUUUUCAAUAUCAGUAAAAUAACCUGUUUGUGAGUGACUGGAAGAAAAUCCCUGAAGUUCAAUUGGCAGCACCUUUAGAUUAGCGUGUGUAAAUCUCAUGACCCAAAGAAAACCUUUUUGGUUUUUUUGGGUGGGUCGGUCUGAUAUUUGGGUCAAAUACAAUACUUCCUGAAACACCCAAACUAACCUGGCAACAUUUUGGUCUUCUUGUCUUGCAAAUUGGAAAAAAAUAACAUUAUGGUGAAGUCAAAUAUGUAAAAAAAUCUAAUAAUCUUUUGGGAAAACCCUCGUUUGGAUAAGCGGUAGAAAAUGAAUGAAUGAAUGAAUGAAUGAAUGAAUGAAUGAACUGUAAAACAAACACGUCUCUCGUCCGUUCAUCAUCGCAACACUUCCUCACUAAACAGAUUGCGAGAUGCUUUCACUGACACCCCGAACAUCACAACAACCUGUGAGCUGCAUCUAAUUUUUCCCGUUGUUGUUAAAACACAAUUACAUGUAAACUGGAAAAGGGCAAUGUAUUUUUAAAUAAUUUAAACAUUUGUCCAAAGGACUGGUUUACUAGUGUCUGUUCUCUUUAGUUGCUUAGUUGCUUUAAGUGAACAUGAUUAAACGCAGCCUCCAUUUACACCUCAAAGCACCAGGGCAGCGGAGCAGGUUUCAGAGUUGUCGUAACAUUUGAUGUCCAACUAACAAUAUCGGUUUAUAAACGCCUUACCUCCACAGCCAAGCUGAAGUUCCUCUGAACGAGUUCUUCAUUGUUCUUGGUCCCAUAACUGACGGCAUUGUGCACUUUGAGGACGCACGAGUGUCCCGACAGGAAGAGCGGCACCUGACCCUUGUGCAGCUUGGUCCGAAAAGCCCGACGGUGCAUCCCUUCACCGAAGUGUGCCUUCUCUGUGACGAUGCUGACGGGGUGGUUCUCCCCAAAGUACUGCUCUGACAGGAAGUCCUCUUUGAACAGCAGCCUGGAGCACUGGACGUCUUCCUCCUCGGCACCCGUCUCACCAGAUGCAGCUGAAGGAGAGAAUCAUUUGUCAGGUCUUUGUGGGAGGCCUUGGAGAUGGUGACACAUGCUCGACUCUCGUCCCCUGCACUUCAAAGACACGCAUAGCGCCACAAGAACCGAGGUCACUGCACGGACGAGCGCAACUCCUUUGACAGAGGUAAUGAAUCCAGAUACCUUUGCUUCACCUCUGCCAGCAGAGCGCCCUCUCUCCUCCAGGUGAUAACACGGUCGCUCGAGAUGGCUGAGAACUGACACCAAAGACUGAGACUUUGAGGGUCGCCGCUCACAGACGCCGCCUGGAUGGUCUGCACCACCUUGGGCUCUGUAUCCUUUUGGUGAUUGGUGGCACCCCCUGGUGGCCGCUAACUGUUCAUGGGACUGCACUCGUCAGUGCUGCCAGCACACUGGGGGCGCUGCGGUGGGCGGUCGGUAACUUGAAAGACGUCCCAGCGAACAGGAAGUAGUCCUCUGUUGAAAAGCUGAGAUGCCAGGAAGGAGAAGAACAAAAUGGCGGCGAGGGAGCACAGCAUGGCGAAGGUCUUGACCGGGAAAUGCUGCACGUGAGUCCCGUCCUCCAGAGUGCUUCCCGGGAAUAUGAUGACAGGCGUCAGGCCUAUCAGGGGCUCACCGCACAGCAGCCGAAUCAGGAUACCCAGUACAGCCCCCAAGAUGGCACCAUAACUAUUGGUGAUGUGGAAGAAGAGGACGCAGACGAGCUGAGGGAAAAUGAUGUUGUAGGAUAUUUGGAUGCCCACGAACCAGAACAGGACCAUGCUGGUUUUCAGUUUGGUGAAUGCCGCCCCGGUCACCCCCACCACCACUACCGUGAGGCGGAUCACAUGCUGGAUCUCUCGCUCGGACGCCUGAAAGCAGAAGAGCAGGAAAGUCACAUCCCACCCUCAACUGUCAGAUGCCAACACCCGACCUCACCUGCGGUCUCAGGAUGUUCUUGUAGAUGUUGGAUGAGAACACGGACGCCGCGGAAAGCAGGGCGGAGUCUGCAGAUGACAUCACAGCAGCGGCCACGCACGCGAUCCCCAGGAUGGAGAUGUAAGGGGGGGUGAGGUGUUGCAGCACCAUGGGCAGGACCAGCGCCGCCUCCCCCCGCUCCCAUGGUGAUGGAGAACCGUACGAUGUCGCGUUCCAGUCUGGCAGCAAAACACUCAUGACACUUUAAUGCGCUUUACCCAGAUGAUAGGAAGUCUUACCUGUGGAUGCCGCCACCGCCCCCAGCAGGACGGGAGGUAUGCCGAAGAUGAGGAUGAUGAAGGCGGCGAUAAAGCACAGACGCUUGGCCAUCAUGGGAGACGCUACCGACAGCGUCCUCUGGUGGAAGGAUUGAUACCCAGAAUUGCCCAGCGCCUGUCAGAUAGAUGUGAGGGGGGGGCACUUUAUGCAGGAAGCUAGACCACAUCCACAGGGCGACACCAUCAGGCCUCCACACCACUAGCGUGUGUGUGUGUGUGUGCUCUUACCGUAAAUAAAAAAUUAUCCAGAAGGAUCCAGAAGUUGUUGGCAUUCCAGCUGCCAAUCCAGGGAGCGUGCAACGUGUUGUUCAUUAGUGUGGAGCCGAUGUUGACCACGUGUUGACUCGCCAUAGCGAAGGGAACACAAGCCCACUGCACACACACACACUCUCCGUUAAAAUCUCUCUCUCACACACAGUUUAAAGCAGACAGGUGUACAGACCAGACUGAUGAAGAUGAGGAGCAGCUGGAUGACGUCAGUGUAGGCCACAGAGUAGAGCCCCCCCAGCAGUGUGUAUGUGAUGGCCACCCCCACCGAGAUCCAAACGCAAACAUUGAAAGAAAGGUCCAGAACCACACUCAUGGUCACACCUGUGUCACACACACACACACAUUGUUGCCGCACUACAAAUCACAUCUGACCAUGUGUAGUGCAUGUUCAUGUGUGUGUGUGUGUGUGUGUGUGCGUGUGCACAUCACCCAGGCCGAUGAGGGUGGAGGGAAGCCAGAAUACAUCAAGCAAAAUCGAUGUCACACAAAAAGCCCCCGUCAGAACUUUGCCGUAAUUGUGCUGGAAAAGAUCCAUCACGGUGAUGCAGUGUCUCUCAUGGAGCGGCUUGGCGAACAAGAGGCUACCUGUUCGAGAGCCGCAAAGUGUGAGUCAAACCGUGUUGCAUUUGUCCCUGUGGGACACUUCAACUCUGAUCUGUUGUUGUGCUAACAAGUUAUUGAUUGAUUGACAGUAAAUGUCUCAGGAAGAGAAAUCACCAAUAAUAAAAGAAGCGCUGUAUCCCAGAAUCACCGUGAUGGCCCAGGCCACGCCCAUGGAGGGGGUGUACACUAUCUCUGCCAGGCCCACGAUGAAGCCACCUCCCACCCACGUGGCUGCAGGAGGAACGGAGAUGUCACCAAGGUCACCAUUUACCAUACUACUGCCCGGAAAGAGCCUCACCCGUCAAGGUGCAGAUUCCCACCAACAUGCUAAUGUGCCGAUUGGCCAGCAGUGACAGCUCCAGGAAGGUGGUCGUAUGUUUGCGCUUUUCCCGACGGCCCUUGAAGUAAGCCCAGAUGCCGAUGCCGAAAACCAGCACGUAGAAGAAGAACAUGGCUAUGGCUCCUGGAAUGUUGACGGCCAUCUUGGACUAGAAGGUGAACAAAUACUCACAAAUACUUCACAUAACUUACUCAAAGCAAAAAUUAUUUUUUCAACCGUAACCAAAACUUAUAAUGUCUUUAAUCAUAAAAUCAUCAUUAAACAUGAUUCUUUCUAAUCGGACAACA